RNAcentral lists this ribosomal RNA (266 nucleotides) under uncultured bacterium. RNAcentral's name for it is "partial 16S ribosomal RNA". It matches the Rfam family "Bacterial small subunit ribosomal RNA", at positions 793 to 1055 of the family's 1533-position model. The record is from RNAcentral.
GUCCACGCCGUAAACGAUGCACACUCGCUGUCGGGUUCGCUACAGAACUCGGUGGCUUAGCUAACGCGGUAAGUGUGCCGCCUGGGGAUUACGGCCGCAAGGUUAAAACUCAAAGGAAUUGACGGGGACCCGCACAAGUGGUGGAGCAUGUCCAUUAAUUCGAAGAUACGCGAAGAACCUUACCAAGCCUUGACAUCCUGGUAGACUUUCCCUGAAAGGGGAGGGGCAUUUAGUUGGACCAGUGACAGGUGUUGCAUGGCUGUCGU